CAAAAUAAAGCUCUAAGUUAGUUUUUCUUUUACAUGGAAAGGGUAUUGAAGGUUUCAAUUGUUUUGA
Molecule: transfer RNA, 67 nt
Filed under: Speleketor irwini
Lineage: Eukaryota; Metazoa; Arthropoda; Insecta; Psocodea; Prionoglarididae
Description: tRNA-Val
Source: RNAcentral